AUGUUCACCUUGGCAGCACAUAUACUAAAACUGGAACAAUAAAGAGAAGACUAGCAUGGCCCCUUGAGCAAAGAUGACACACAAAUUCAUGAAGCGGUCCAUAUUAAA
This is a small nuclear RNA of Meriones unguiculatus (Mongolian gerbil), 108 nucleotides long. NCBI's taxonomy places the organism in Eukaryota, Metazoa, Chordata, Mammalia, Rodentia, Muridae. The record is from Ensembl.